This 253-nucleotide ribosomal RNA is filed under the name uncultured bacterium. RNAcentral's name for it is "partial 16S ribosomal RNA". It matches the Rfam family "Bacterial small subunit ribosomal RNA", at positions 524 to 776 of the family's 1533-position model. The record is from RNAcentral.
UACGGAGGGUGCGAGCGUUGUCCGGAAUCACUGGGCGUAAAGGGCGCGUAGGCGGCCUGAUAAGUCGGGGGUGAAAUCCUGCGGCUUAACCGCAGGGCUGCCUUCUAAACUGUCAGGCUAGAGCACAGUAGAGGCAGGUGGAAUUCCCGGUGUAGCGGUGGAAUGCGCAGAUAUCGGGAAGAACACCCGUGGCUAAGGCGGCUCUCUAGUACGGUACUGACGCUGAGACGCGAAAGCGUGGGGAGCGAACAGG